This 1182-nucleotide ribosomal RNA is filed under the name Nereis sp. Its description in RNAcentral is "16S ribosomal RNA". The stretch from base 792 to 1115 matches the Rfam family "Bacterial large subunit ribosomal RNA", at positions 2071 to 2649 of the family's 2925-position model. Lineage: Eukaryota; Metazoa; Annelida; Polychaeta; Phyllodocida; Nereididae. The record is from RNAcentral.
AAUGCACAUAUAAUUUAUUAUUUAAUAUAUUCUAAACUAUCCCACUCUAUUUAUUAUUUAAACUGAAAAGUAAAAUACUUAGUAAACAGCAGAAUAAUUCGUACCUUUAGCAUCAUGGUAUAACUAGUGUUAUUAUUUAGUACGGCACCCGAAUAAUCUCCGAGCUGAUAAAACACUAGCUCGACACCCAUAGUAUAAUAUUAUAUUAUUAAACUAAGAUAUUUUAUCAGAGGCUACAUACCCCCGCGGAAUUAGAUAGCUGGUUGUAUAAUAAAUUGAUUUUAGUCAAAAUAGCACGCUGCUAUUAAAAUAUUAAAGGCCAAGCUUUAAUAUAUUUUCUAUUAAAUAUUAUUCUACAUAAACACAUAUUAUAGGCCUAAAAUCCGCCACAUAACCCGCCACAGGGACACAUAUAUUUUGAUUAAUAAUAAUAACUUGUUUAUUCAUAUUACAACUUUCUCCUUUUUAGAACAUAAUAAAAUGUCAUAACUAGUAUUCUUUUCACUAUAAUUAACAAUAUAACUUCACACAACAAUAAACCUCCCCAAUCUCUAAGCAAGGAACUCGGCAAAUAUUUAUUCAGCCUGUUUAACAAAAACAUCGCCAACUGAACAUAUAGUAGGUCCAUCCUGCCCAGUGAAUCAUUUAAACGGCCGCGGUACCUUGACCGUGCAAAGGUAGCAUAAUCAAUUGCCUUUUAAUUAAAGGCUAGUAUGAAUGGACACACAAGAAUAAAUCUGUCUCCCUUAGAAUAUGUAUAAUCUGCACAAUAGGUGAAAAUCCCUAUAUACUAAUAAAAGACAAGAAGACCCUACAGAGCUUCAUUUAUAAAAGUCAAACACUCAAAUAUAAAGUUAAUUGGGACAAUUAAAAAACAUUUACACCUUUAAUAUUACAUACACAAACCCUCUAAUGUAAACGAAUACAGCUACCUUAGGGAUAACAGACUAAUUUUACUAGAGAGAUCACAUUGACAGUAAAGAUUGGCACCUCGAUGUUGGCUUAGUGUAACUAUUGAGCGCAGCCGCUCAACAAAGUUGGUUUGUUCAACCAUUAAAUCACUACAUGAGCUGAGUUCAGACCGGCGUAAGCCAGGUUAGAUUCUAUCUUUAUUAAGCAAAUUAACCUAUAGUACGAAAGGACCUAGCGUUACAAAUAAAAUUUUAAUAAUAUAAAAACAUU